GAAAAACAAAUUUCUGGCAUUGAUUAUCGCCUAUGUUUGCGGUUGUUAUUUGCUAAACACCAAAUUUGUUUUAUCAGAAGAUUUCAUUUUGCAGAGUCCAUGGUUGCUUACACAUAUUGGAUCUUGGACUGACCUUUGUCAUCCUCGCUGGACUCUUCUCCAUUAUUGCUUUCACUUCUCUCUCUCGUUUCUUUCUUUUUUAUUUUUUUAAUCUUUUUAUGUGAAUCAGAGAAUCUUCUUCAUGAGUCUGUGAUUUCUUCAUUAAAAAUAUAUGAAAAAAAGUUGAUGUUUUUCCCUUUCUUGAUCUGAAACUAAAUACAAUUUAUUGUUUUUUAAACUUGUUUUAAUUGGUGAUGGCUGGUGGUGAUAGCGAGUGACAUAACUGUAAAACCCGGGGUGGCGCCGUGCAAGCCAUAGAGUGAAGCAGAAGGGGCAAAUGUCUUAGUUGCAAAGGCUCACUUCUGUUCUCUUUGGCCUUUUCUUCUCUCAAUUUUUCUCUCCACCCAAAGAAAAAUCCUUUUUUUAAUUUCUCUCAGCUAAGCUUAUUAAAGACUUUGCAUUUCGUUUUCCUGCUUAUUAUUACCCCACUACUAUCAUUUUGACGCCAAGUGAUUGCAAUUUGCUGAGCAAAUGAUGGCCCUCUCUUCAUCUGAUGACACCUGAGAGGACCCAUCACACGGUUCUGCUUAUUUUGCUUCCUCAUAUGGUUAAUUAAUAGUCACUUGCUUUGUUUUUAUUGUUGGCUUUGGACAUCUGGUUUUGCCUUGUUUUGUUCGUAUGACAUAUAGUCUGUUUUGUUCGAUGCACGCAUAGGUUUGUUUGUUUGAUUUUAUUGAUCACCUGAUCUGUUUUCUCUGCCCAAUAGUUAAAAGGGAUUAAACUACUGCAAAAUUUUCUUUGUUGAACUAGGUCAGUAACUAAGAGUUUGAUUAUUCGGUUUGUGAUCUGUGAUUCUUUCUUUCUUUCAGGGUAUUUAGUUAGUGGUUAUUAGUGCUGAGAGGGUUGAAAUCUUGGUUCUGGAAAAGAUGAGCGGAGCUGUGCUUGUGGCUGUAGCUGCUGCGGUUGGUAACUUACUGCAGGGAUGGGAUAAUGCAACCAUCGCAGGG
RNAcentral lists this unclassified non-coding RNA (1106 nucleotides) under Hevea brasiliensis (rubber tree). Lineage: Eukaryota; Viridiplantae; Streptophyta; Magnoliopsida; Malpighiales; Euphorbiaceae. The record is from RNAcentral.